This 424-nucleotide ribosomal RNA is filed under the name uncultured prokaryote. Its description in RNAcentral is "bacterial SSU rRNA". It matches the Rfam family "Bacterial small subunit ribosomal RNA", at positions 355 to 796 of the family's 1533-position model. The record is from RNAcentral.
UGGGGAAUAUUGGACAAUGGGCGCAAGCCUGAUCCAGCCAUGCCGCGUGAGUGAAGAAGGCCUUAGGGUUGUAAAGCUCUUUCACUGGUGAAGAUGAUGACGGUAACCAGAGAAGAAGCCCCGGCUAACUCCGUGCCAGCAGCCGCGGUAAUACGGGGGAUGCAAGCGUUAUCCGGAAUUACUGGGCGUAAAGCGUCUGUAGGUGGCUUGGUUAGUCUAUUGUUAAAUAUUAGGGCUUAACCCUGAGACAGCAUUAGAAACUUCUAAGCUAGAGUAUGGUAUGGGCAAAGGGAAUUCCCAGUGUAGCGGUGAAAUGCGUAGAUAUUGGGAAGAACACCAGUAGCGAAAGCGCUUUGCUUGGCCUCAGCUGACACUGAGAGACGAAAGCUAAGGUGGCGAAUGGGAUUAGAUACCCCCGUAGUCC